Molecule: ribosomal RNA, 406 nt
Filed under: uncultured beta proteobacterium
Lineage: Bacteria; Pseudomonadati; Pseudomonadota; Betaproteobacteria
Description: bacterial SSU rRNA
Rfam family: Bacterial small subunit ribosomal RNA
Source: RNAcentral
GAGUUUGAUCCUGGCUCAGAUUGAACGCUGGCGGCAUGCCUUACACAUGCAAGUCGAGCGGCAGCGCGGGGGCAACCCUGGCGGCGAGCGGCGAACGGGUGAGUAAUACAUCGGAACGUGUCCUGUCGUGGGGGAUAACCAGUCGAAAGAUUGGCUAAUACCGCAUGACCUCGUAAGAGAAAAGCGGGGGACCGUAAGGCCUCGCGCGACUGGAGCGGCCGGUGUCGGAUUAGCUAGUUGGCGGGGUAAAAGCCCACCAAGGCGACGAUCCGUAGCUGGUUUGAGAGAACGACCAGCCACACUGGGACUGAGACACGGCCCAGACUCCUACGGGAGGCAGCAGUGGGGAAUUUUGGACAAUGGGCGCAAGCCUGAUCCAGCCAUGCCGCGUGUGUGAAGAAGGCCU